Molecule: ribosomal RNA, 490 nt
Filed under: uncultured bacterium
Lineage: Bacteria
Description: partial 16S ribosomal RNA
Rfam family: Bacterial small subunit ribosomal RNA
Source: RNAcentral
AUUGAACGCUGGCGGCAUGCUUUACACAUGCAAGUCGAACGGCAGCGGGGUAGUGCUUGCACUACUGCCGGCGAGUGGCGUACGGGUGAGUAAUAUAUCGGAACGUACCGAGUAAUGGGGGAUAACCAAUCGAAAGAUUGGCUAAUACCGCAUACGUCCUGAGGGAGAAAGCGGGGGAUCGCAAGACCUCGCGUUAUUCGAGCGGCCGAUAACUGAUUAGCUAGUUGGUGGGGUAAAGGCCUACCAAGGCGACGAUCAGUAGCGGGUCUGAGAGGACGAUCCGCCACACUGGGACUGAGACACGGCCCAGACUCCUACGGGAGGCAGCAGUGGGGAAUUUUGGACAAUGGGGGCAACCCUGAUCCAGCCAUGCCGCGUGUAUGAAGAAGGCCUUCGGGUUGUAAAGUACUUUUGUUAGGGAAGAAAAGGGAAGUGCUAAUACCACUUUUUGCUGACGGUACCUAAAGAAUAAGCACCGGCUAACUACGUG